GAUGAAGAACGUAGCGAAAUGCGAUAAGUAGUGUGAAUUGCAGAAUUCAGUGAAUCAUCGAAUCUUUGAACGCACAUUGCGCCCCUUGGUAUUCCAUGGGGCAUGCCUGUUCGAGCGUCAUUUGUACCUUCAAGCUCUGCUUGGUGUUGGGUGUUUGUCUCGCCUCUGCGUGUAGACUCGCCUCAAAACAAUUGGCAGCCGGCGUAUUGAUUUCGGAGCGCAGUACAUCUCGCGCUUUGCACUCAUAACGACGACGUCCAAAAGUACAUUUUUACACUCUUGACCUCGGAUCAGGUAGGGAUACCCGCUGAACUUAAGCAUAUCAAUAAGCGUAGGA
Molecule: unclassified non-coding RNA, 337 nt
Filed under: soil metagenome
Description: partial contains 5.8S ribosomal RNA, internal transcribed spacer 2, and large subunit ribosomal RNA
Rfam family: 5.8S ribosomal RNA (bases 1-120)
Source: RNAcentral